Molecule: ribosomal RNA, 495 nt
Filed under: uncultured bacterium
Lineage: Bacteria
Description: partial 16S ribosomal RNA
Rfam family: Bacterial small subunit ribosomal RNA
Source: RNAcentral
GACGAACGCUGGCGGCGUGCCUAAUACAUGCAAGUAGAACGCUGAAGGAGGAGCUUGCUUCUCUGGAUGAGUUGCGAACGGGUGAGUAACGCGUAGGUAACCUGCCUGGUAGCGGGGGAUAACUAUUGGAAACGAUAGCUAAUACCGCAUAAUAGUAGAUGUUGCAUGACAUUUGCUUAAAAGGUGCAAUUGCAUCACUACCAGAUGGACCUGCGUUGUAUUAGCUAGUUGGUGGGGUAACGGCUCACAAAGGCGACGAUACAUAGCCGACCUGAGAGGGGGAUCGGCCACACUGGGACUGAGACACGGCGCAGACUCCUACGGGAGGCAGCAGUAGGGAAUCUUCGGCAAUGGACGGAAGUCUGACCGAGCAACGCCGCGUGAGUGAAGAAGGUUUUCGGAUCGUAAAGCUCUGUUGUAAGAGAAGAACGAGUGUGAGAGUGGAAAGUUCACACUGUGACGGUAGCUUACCAGAAAGGGACGGCUAACUACGUG